RNAcentral lists this ribosomal RNA (505 nucleotides) under uncultured bacterium. RNAcentral's name for it is "partial 16S ribosomal RNA". It matches the Rfam family "Bacterial small subunit ribosomal RNA", at positions 28 to 507 of the family's 1533-position model. The record is from RNAcentral.
GACGAACGCUGGCGGCGUGCCUAAUACAUGCAAGUAGAACGCACAGUUUAUACCGUAGCUUGCUACACCAUAGACUGUGAGUUGCGAACGGGUGAGUAACGCGUAGGUAACCUGCCUGGUAGCGAGGGAUAACUAUUGGAAACGAUAGCUAAUACCGCAUAAUAUUAAUUAUUGCAUGAUAAUUAAUUGAAAGGUGCAAUUGCACCACUACCAGAUGGACCUGCGUUGUAUUAGCUAGUAGGUGAGGUAACGGCUCACCUAGGCGACGAUACAUAGCCGACCUGAGAGGGUGAUCGGCCACACUGGGACUGAGACACGGCCCAGACUCCUACGGGAGGCAGCAGUAGGGAAUCUUCGGCAAUGGACGAAAGUCUGACCGAGCAACGCCGCGUGAGUGAAGAAGGUUUUCGGAUCGUAAAGCUCUGUUGUAAGAGAAGAACGGGUGUGAGAGUGGAAAGUUCACACUGUGACGGUAUCUUACCAGAAAGGGACGGCUAACUACGUG